Xenopus laevis (African clawed frog) is the source of this 1856-nucleotide long non-coding RNA. RefSeq lists it as uncharacterized. Lineage: Eukaryota; Metazoa; Chordata; Amphibia; Anura; Pipidae. The record is from RefSeq and is a predicted model, not a curated record. The transcript is spliced from 2 exons.
UGGUCAGACAGGAACCUCCCCCUGGGUAAGUGAAUCCAAUCUCCCCCAGUACUUACCCAGGUACAGAGCUCUGAUUCUCUGUACUUCCUGCUCCUGGGCUGUUCUCUUUCCCAUGGUCAGAUGAGGGUGCUGAUUCUCUGUCACCAAUCAGGGGCUGCUACUCUUGGGCAGUGACACACUCAGUCUCGACCGCACUGCUUACAUUCAAAGCUACAGGACAGAUCAUGCACAUCCUGCUGGUCCUUCUCUGCGUAUUAAUCGCCAACUCUUUCACGCAGAAGUUGCAGCCGUCUUUUUACGAUGGCACCAGAAUUGCGCAGUGACUUCCCAAUCUUCUUCGCUCUCUGAUUAAUCCUCACAGUCCUAUUGGUUCAUGCGUCAGAUAACUCCUCCUCUUGCUCAACAUGUCGGGCUGAGUUAGAAAAGUAUGUGACCCCCAACACUUGGAGAUUCCACUAUAAAAUCAGAAGCAAAAAAUAUUUGUCCCCUCAGUUUUAUUGUAGUUAAAUAUCAGUGGAAUAUUGGGAGUAGAUCCUACUAGACAUGACUGCAGGCGACAUUGUUCAUGAUUAUAAAGGCAAAGUAAACUUUGUUUUUUUUGUUUAAAUCUGAGCCUAUUCUGAGCAACUCCCUCUAUUGGCUGAAGGAAAGCAGUGCCCUGCAGUACUCACUAGUAUCCAGUGAUUAUGGACCCUGCUCAGUCACUGAUUGGUCAGUACAGCUGGUGCUCACUAAUGGGGUUCAGCCAAUGAUAGAAGAGAUGUUGUGGCUAUGUGUCAAAAGAUGUAGGUCCGAAACACCCCAAAUCUUCCUCCACUGGCCACAAAUACCUGCACCAGUCAGGAGAGUCUCAUCUUUCCUUUCAGGCAAUUACUAGGGAGAAUUCCAAAUAUUUUGACCCCACUUGGAUUCUGUUCCAACUUCUUGUCCCUGAAUAAGACCACGUGGGCUGCUUUCCCUUCUCUGUCGCCCCAGUUCCUAUAAGGUGAACACAGAAGAGUUUAUGAACCCGGAUAUUGGAGUUCUGCCCCGAGAAGCUGUUUGAAGAUGUUCUGAAAGUCAUCACCUCGUCUGACGACUGUGAGUAUCCAGGGGUGAAUAAUAGAGGUACAGGGGUGAAUAAUAGAGGUACAGGGGUGAAUGAUAGAGGUACAGGGGUGAAUAAUAGAGGUACAGGGGUGAAUAAUAGAGGUACAGGGGUGAAUAAUAAAGGUACAGGGAUGAAUAAUAGAGGUACAGGGGUGAAUAAUAGAAGUACAGGGGUGAAUAAUAGAGGUACAGGGGUGAAUAAUAGAGGUACAGGGGUGAAUGAUAGAAGUACAGGGGUGAAUGAUAGAGGUACAGGGGUGAAUAAUAGAGGUACAGGGGUGAAUAAUAAAGGUACAGGGAUGAAUAAUAGAGGUACAGGGGUGAAUAAUAGAGGUACAGGGGUGAAUAAUAGAAGUACAGGGGUGAAUAAUAGAGGUACAGGGGUGAAUAAUAGAAGUACAGGGGUGAAUAAUAGAGGUACAGGGGUGAAUAAUAGAAGUACAGGGGUGAAUAAUAGAGGUACAGGGGUGAAUAAUAGAGGUACAGGGGUGCACCCACUCAGGGACAGUAGGGCCCCGGCUCCAUUGCCCUCCCGGAUUGUGUUUCAUCUCACUCCACCCCACAGAGUCACAAGCUGAUUGGCUGCUUGAGGACAAAACAACACAUUUCAUUUUCUCUAUUAGAUGAAGUAGACAACAGAAGAGCUUGCACACCCCAAGUAAACAUUUUGGUUGAAGGGGCCCCUCCGGUACCUUAUAAAAUAAUUGGAGAAGGAUAGGCCCUUCAAGUGCAUGAGGGAUUAUAAAAAAAAAAAAAAAAAACAUUCC